This 1343-nucleotide ribosomal RNA is filed under the name uncultured bacterium. RNAcentral's name for it is "16S ribosomal RNA". It matches the Rfam family "Bacterial small subunit ribosomal RNA", at positions 28 to 1378 of the family's 1533-position model. The record is from RNAcentral.
GACGAACGCUGGCGGCGUGCUUAACACAUGCAAGUCGAACGGAAAGGCCCUGCUUUUGUGGGGUGCUCGAGUGGCGAACGGGUGAGUAACACGUGAGUAACCUGCCCUUGACUUUGGGAUAACUUCAGGAAACUGGGGCUAAUACCGGAUAGGAGCUCCUGCUGCAUGGUGGGGGUUGGAAAGUUUCGGCGGUUGGGGAUGGACUCGCGGCUUAUCAGCUUGUUGGUGGGGUAGUGGCUUACCAAGGCUUUGACGGGUAGCCGGCCUGAGAGGGUGACCGGCCACAUUGGGACUGAGAUACGGCCCAGACUCCUACGGGAGGCAGCAGUGGGGAAUAUUGCACAAUGGGCGGUAGCCUGAUGCAGCAACGCCGCGUGCGGGAUGACGGCCUUCGGGUUGUAAACCGCUUUCGCCUGUGACGAAGCGUGAGUGACGGUAAUGGGUAAAGAAGCACCGGCUAACUACGUGCCAGCAGCCGCGGUGAUACGUAGGGUGCGAGCGUUGUCCGGAUUUAUUGGGCGUAAAGGGCUCGUAGGUGGUUGAUCGCGUCGGAAGUGUAAUCUUGGGGCUUAACCCUGAGCGUGCUUUCGAUACGGGUUGACUUGAGGAAGGUAGGGGAGAAUGGAAUUCCUGGUGGAGCGGUGGAAUGCGCAGAUAUCAGGAGGAACACCAGUGGCGAAGGCGGUUCUCUGGGCCUUUCCUGACGCUGAGGAGCGAAAGCGUGGGGAGCGAACAGGCUUAGAUACCCUGGUAGUCCACGCUGUAAACGGUGGGUACUAGGUGUGGGGUCCAUUCCACGGGUUCCGUGCCGUAGCUAACGCUUUAAGUACCCCGCCUGGGGAGUACGGCAGCAAGGCUAAAACUCAAAGGAAUUGACGGGGCCCCGCACAAGCGGCGGAGCAUGCGGAUUAAUUCGAUGCAACGCGUAGAACCUUACCUGGGUUUGACAUGGAUCGGGAGUGCUCAGAGAUGGGUGUGCCUCUUUUGGGGUCGGUUCACAGGUGGUGCAUGCCUGUCGUCAGCUCGUGUCGUGAGAUGUUGGGUUAAGUCCCGCAACGAGCGCAACCCUUGUUCACUGUUGCCAGCACGUUAUGGUGGGGACUCAGUGGAGACCGCCGGGGUCAACUCGGAGGAAGGUGGGGAUGACGUCAAGUCCUCAUGCCCCUUAUGUCCAGGGCUUCACGCAUGCUACAAUGGCUGGUACAGAGAGUGGCGAGCCUGUGAGGGUGAGCGAAUCUCGGAAAGCCGGUCUCAGUUCGGAUUGGGGUCUGCAACUCGACCUCAUGAAGUCGGAGUCGCUAGUAAUCGCAGAUCAGCAACGCUGCGGUGAAUACGUUCCCGGG